ACUAAGCGUACACGGUGGAUGCCUUGGCAGUCAGAGGCGAUGAAAGACGUAGUAACUUGCGAUAAGCCCAGAUUAGGUAGUAACAACCAUUUGAGUCUGGGAUUUCUGAAUGGGGAAACCCACGUGCAUAAGCACGUAUCCUUACCUGAAUACAUAGGGUAAGGAGGCGAACCGGGGGAACUGAAACAUCUAAGUACCCCGAGGAAAAGAAAUCAACCGAGAUUCCGAAAGUAGCGGCGAGCGAAAUUGGACUAGCCCUUAAGCUUUACACGCGUUAGACGAACGGUCUGGAAAGUCCGACGAUACAGGGUGAUAGUCCCGUAGUUGACGACGUGUGUUCAGUGAAAUCGAGUAGGGCGGGACACGUGAUAUCCUGUCUGAAUAUGGGGGGACCAUCCUCCAAGGCUAAAUACUACUGACUGACCGAUAGUGAACCAGUACCGUGAGGGAAAGGCGAAAAGAACCCCUGUGAGGGGAGUGAAAUAGAACCUGAAACCGUGUACGUACAAGCAGUAGGAGCAGGCUUUGUCCUGUGACUGCGUACCUUUUGUAUAAUGGGUCAGCGACUUAUAUUCAGUGGCAAGGUUAACCAUCUAGGGGAGCCGUAGGGAAACCGAGUCUUAACUGGGCGUUCAGUCUCUGGAUAUAGACCCGAAACCAGGUGAUCUAGCCAUGGGCAGGUUGAAGGUUGAGUAACAUCAACUGGAGGACCGAACCGACUAAUGUUGAAAAAUUAGCGGAUGACUUGUGGCUAGGGGUGAAAGGCCAAUCAAACCUGGAGAUAGCUGGUUCUCCCCGAAAGCUAUUUAGGUAGCGCCUCGGACGAAUACUACUGGGGGUAGAGCACUGUUAAGGCUAGGGGGUCAUCCCGACUUACCAACCCUUUGCAAACUCCGAAUACCAGUAAGUACUAUCCGGGAGACACACGGCGGGUGCUAACGUCCGUCGUGGAGAGGGAAACAACCCAGACCGCCAGCUAAGGUCCCAAAUUACUACUAAGUGGGAAACGAUGUGGGAAGGCUCAGACAGCCAGGAUGUUGGCUUAGAAGCAGCCAUCAUUUAAAGAAAGCGUAAUAGCUCACUGGUCGAGUCGGCCUGCGCGGAAGAUGUAACGGGGCUAAGUAGUAAACCGAAGCUGCGGCAAUGUGCUUUUGCACAUUGGGUAGGGGAGCGUUCUGUAAGCGGUUGAAGGUGUGUGGUAACGCAUGCUGGACGUAUCAGAAGUGCGAAUGCUGACAUGAGUAACGAUAAAGGGGGUGAAAAACCUCCUCGCCGGAAGACCAAGGGUUCCUGUCCAACGUUAAUCGGGGCAGGGUAAGUCGACCCCUAAGGCGAGGCCGAAAGGCGUAGUCGAUGGGAAACGGGUUAAUAUUCCCGUACUUCUUACAAUUGCGAUGGGGGACGGAGAAGGCUAGGUGGGCCUGGCGACGGUUGUCCAGGUUCAAGUGCGUAGGCUUGAGAGUUAGGUAAAUCCGGCUCUUUUUAAGGCUGAGACACGACGUCGAGCACCUACGGGUGUGAAGUCAUUGAUGCCAUGCUUCCAGGAAAAGCCUCUAAGCUUCAGAUUGUAAGGAAUCGUACCCCAAACCGACACAGGUGGUCGGGUAGAGAAUACCAAGGCGCUUGAGAGAACUCGGGUGAAGGAACUAGGCAAAAUGGUACCGUAACUUCGGGAGAAGGUACGCUCUCGACGGUGAAGUCCCUUGCGGAUGGAGCUAUUGAGAGUCGCAGAUACCAGGUGGCUGCAACUGUUUAUUAAAAACACAGCACUGUGCAAAAUCGUAAGAUGACGUAUACGGUGUGACGCCUGCCCGGUGCCGGAAGGUUAAUUGAUGGGGUUAGACUUCGGUCGAAGCUCUUGAUCGAAGCCCCGGUAAACGGCGGCCGUAACUAUAACGGUCCUAAGGUAGCGAAAUUCCUUGUCGGGUAAGUUCCGACCUGCACGAAUGGCGUAAUGAUGGCCACGCUGUCUCCACCCGAGACUCAGUGAAAUUGAAAUCGCUGUGAAGAUGCAGUGUACCCGCGGCUAGACGGAAAGACCCCGUGAACCUUUACUACAGCUUGGCACUGAACAUUGACCCUACAUGUGUAGGAUAGGUGGGAGGCUUUGAAGCACGUACGCCAGUAUGUGUGGAGCCGUCCUUGAAAUACCACCCUUGUAGUGUUGAUGUUCUAACGUCGACCCCUUAUCGGGGUUGCGGACAGUGCCUGGUGGGUAGUUUGACUGGGGCGGUCUCCUCCCAAAGAGUAACGGAGGAGCACGAAGGUGGGCUAAUCACGGUUGGACAUCGUGAGGUUAGUGCAAUGGCAUAAGCCCGCUUGACUGCGAGAAUGACAAUUCGAGCAGGUGCGAAAGCAGGUCAUAGUGAUCCGGUGGUUCUGAAUGGAAGGGCCAUCGCUCAACGGAUAAAAGGUACUCCGGGGAUAACAGGCUGAUACCGCCCAAGAGUUCAUAUCGACGGCGGUGUUUGGCACCUCGAUGUCGGCUCAUCACAUCCUGGGGCUGAAGUCGGUCCCAAGGGUAUGGCUGUUCGCCAUUUAAAGUGGUACGCGAGCUGGGUUUAGAACGUCGUGAGACAGUUCGGUCCCUAUCUGCCGUGGGCGUUGGAAGAUUGAAGGGGGCUGCUCCUAGUACGAGAGGACCGGAGUGGACGAACCUCUGGUGUUCGGGUUGUGUCGCCAGACGCAUUGCCCGGUAGCUAAGUUCGGAAUCGAUAACCGCUGAAAGCAUCUAAGCGGGAAGCGAGCCCUGAGAUGAGUCUUCCCUGAUACUUUAAGUAUCCUAAAGGGUUGUCGGAGACUACGACGUUGAUAGGUCAGGUGUGUAAGUGCUGUGAGGCAUUGAGCUAACUGAUACUAAUUGCCCGUGAGGCUUAACC
This 2879-nucleotide ribosomal RNA is filed under the name Vibrio parahaemolyticus. RNAcentral's name for it is "bacterial LSU rRNA". It matches the Rfam family "Bacterial large subunit ribosomal RNA". The record is from RNAcentral. Lineage: Bacteria; Pseudomonadati; Pseudomonadota; Gammaproteobacteria; Vibrionales; Vibrionaceae.